Camelus dromedarius (Arabian camel) is the source of this 440-nucleotide long non-coding RNA. RefSeq lists it as uncharacterized. NCBI's taxonomy places the organism in Eukaryota, Metazoa, Chordata, Mammalia, Artiodactyla, Camelidae. The record is from RefSeq and is a predicted model, not a curated record. The transcript has 3 exons.
GGGCCCAGCUGCAGAGCCGAGCAUCCCACCCACCAGUCUCACCUAAGACCCCUGUAGGGGUAGAAAAGAGAGGAACUACCACGAGGAGACCCGACAGCGAGCCAGGGACCCGCGGGAAGACAUUUAAAGGGGUUUGAGAAGACUCUUGCGAUGUCCCUGAUCAGUUGAGAGCGUUGGGAGUAAGGAGAUAAAAAGACCUGGAAAGUGCUGCUCUGAGUGUGGGAAGGUGAGGCUGGAGUGGCGCUGCCAGUUAUGCACACACUCAGCUCAGGAGACUGAGGCGUACCUAAGUAAAUUAUGCUACCAGGAAGAGUGGCUCCAGUCUGAUCCAGUGGCAGAGAAAACCCUGGCUGUGUUGGGCUUCCUUAGAAAUGGAAUGUUGCCCUCCAAAACGGUGCUUCAGGAAAUUCUGCGGUAGUUUUACCUUUGCCGAUAAAGCU